Molecule: ribosomal RNA, 551 nt
Filed under: uncultured bacterium
Lineage: Bacteria
Description: bacterial SSU rRNA
Rfam family: Bacterial small subunit ribosomal RNA
Source: RNAcentral
UGGGGAAUCUUGCGCAAUGGGGGAAACCCUGACGCAGCAACGCCGCGUGGGUGAUGAAGGCCUUCGGGUCGUAAAGCCCUGUCAGGUGGGAAGAAACUUGUGGAUGUUAAUACCGUCCACACUUGACGGUACCACCGGAGGAAGCACCGGCUAACUCCGUGCCAGCAGCCGCGGUAAUACGGAGGGUGCAAGCGUUGUUCGGAAUUAUUGGGCGUAAAGCGCGUGUAGGUGGUCAGGUAAGUCAGAUGUGAAAGCCUUCUGCUUAACAGAAGAAGUGCAUUUGAAACUGCUUGGCUAGAGUACGGGAGAGGAGAGUGGAAUUCCCGGUGUAGAGGUGAAAUUCGUAGAUAUCGGGAGGAACACCAGUGGCGAAGGCGGCUCUCUGGUCCGAUACUGACGCUGAGACGCGAAAGCGUGGGGAGCAAACAGGAUUAGAUACCCUGGUAGUCCACGCCGUAAACGAUGGGCACUAGGUGUAGGAGGUAUUGACCCCUUCUGUGCCGAAGCUAACGCAUUAAGUGCCCCGCCUGGGGAGUACGGCCGCAAGGCUA